RNAcentral lists this ribosomal RNA (253 nucleotides) under uncultured bacterium. RNAcentral's name for it is "partial 16S ribosomal RNA". It matches the Rfam family "Bacterial small subunit ribosomal RNA", at positions 524 to 776 of the family's 1533-position model. The record is from RNAcentral.
UACGUAGGGCGCAAGCGUUGUCCGGAAUUAUUGGGCGUAAAGAGCUCGUAGGCGGCUUGUCACGUCGGGUGUGAAAGCCCGGGGCUUAACCCCGGGUCUGCAUUCGAUACGGGCUAGCUAGAGUGUGGUAGGGGAGAUCGGGAUUCCUGGUGUAGCGGUGGAAUGCGCAGAUAUCAGGAGGAACACCGGUGGCGAAGGCGGAUCUCUGGGCCAUUACUGACGCUGAGGAGCGAAAGCGUGGGGAGCGAACAGG